ACGCGAGGGGCUUUCGGGUCCCUUGAGUGGCGCACGGGUGAGUAGCGCGUGGGAACCCGCCUUCUUGUGGGGGAUAACCGAGGGAAACUUCGGCUAAUACCGCAUGCGCCCCGGGGCAACCCGGGGGAAAGAUUUAUCGCAGGAAGAGGGGCCCGCGUCCGAUUAGGUAGUUGGCGGGGUAACGGCCCACCAAGCCAUCGAUCGGUAGCUGGUCUGAGAGGAUGAUCAGCCACACUGGGGAUGAGACACGGCCCAGGAUCCUACGGGAGGCAGCAGUGGGGAAUAUUGGACAAUGGGCGCAAGCCUGAUCCAGCAAUGCCGCGUGAGUGAUGAAGGCCUUAGGGUUGUAAAGCUCUUUCGGCGGGGACGAUGAUGACGGUACCCGCAGAAGAAGCCCCGGCUAACUUCGUGCCAGCAGCCGCGGUAAUACGAAGGGGGCGAGCGUUGUUCGGAAACUACUGGGCGUAAAGGGCGCGCAGGCGGUCCUGUCAGUCGAGUGUGAAAGCCCCGGGCUCAACCUGGGAAAGGCGCUCGGGACGGCGGGGAUUGAGAUCGGGAGAGGAGCGUGGAAACUCCCAGUGUAGAGGUGAAAUUCGUAGAUAUUGGGAAGAACACCGGUGGCGAAGGCGGCGCUCUGGACCGAUACUGACGCUGAGGCGCGAAAGCGUGGGGAGCAAACAGGA
This 683-nucleotide ribosomal RNA is filed under the name uncultured bacterium. RNAcentral describes it as "bacterial SSU rRNA". It matches the Rfam family "Bacterial small subunit ribosomal RNA", at positions 66 to 777 of the family's 1533-position model. The record is from RNAcentral.